AAGUUUGGACAAUGGGGGAAACCCUGAUCCAUCCAUCCCUCGUGGAUGAUGAAGGCCUUCGGGUUGUAAAGUACUUUUGGCAGAGAAGAGAAGGUAUCUUCUAAUACGAGAUACUGAGGACGGUAUCUGCAUAAUAAGCCCCGGCUAUCUACGUGCCAGCAGCAGCGGUAAUACGUAGGGUGCAAGCGUUAAUCGUAAUUACUGGCCGUAAAGCGUGUGUAGGCGGUUCGGAAAGAAAGAUGCGAAAGCCCAGGGCUCAACCUUGGAACUGCAUUUUUAACUGCCGAGCUAGAGUAUGUCAGAGGGGGGUAGAAUUCCACGUGUAGCAGUGAAAUGCGUAGAUAUGUGGAGGAAUACCGAUGGCGAAGGCAGCCCCCUGGGAUAAUACUGACGCUCAGACACGAAAGCGUGGGGAGCAAAC
RNAcentral lists this ribosomal RNA (421 nucleotides) under uncultured bacterium. Its description in RNAcentral is "partial 16S ribosomal RNA". It matches the Rfam family "Bacterial small subunit ribosomal RNA", at positions 359 to 773 of the family's 1533-position model. The record is from RNAcentral.